This 17-nucleotide transfer RNA is filed under the name Percus reichei. RNAcentral describes it as "partial tRNA-Lys". The record is from RNAcentral. RNAcentral also lists the same sequence under 1 other name. Lineage: Eukaryota; Metazoa; Arthropoda; Insecta; Coleoptera; Carabidae.
CAUUAGAUGUCUGAAAG